Molecule: long non-coding RNA, 214 nt
Filed under: Gossypium barbadense (sea-island cotton)
Lineage: Eukaryota; Viridiplantae; Streptophyta; Magnoliopsida; Malvales; Malvaceae
Description: long non-coding RNA (GBAR_LNC020028)
Source: RNAcentral
UUUUAACCCGGAUAUAGUACUGACACAAAUGCCCUUCGGGACUUAUCACAUUUAUGCACUUUCACAUCCAUCACGUUGGCCACUCGGCCCUAUCACAUAUAUACACUUUCACAUUCAUCACAUCGGCCAUUAGGCCUUAUCACAUAUAUACACUUUCACAUUCAUCACAUCGGCCAUUAGGCCUUAUUACAUAUAUACACUUUCACAUUCAUCA